RNAcentral lists this ribosomal RNA (253 nucleotides) under uncultured bacterium. RNAcentral describes it as "partial 16S ribosomal RNA". It matches the Rfam family "Bacterial small subunit ribosomal RNA", at positions 524 to 776 of the family's 1533-position model. The record is from RNAcentral.
UACGUAGGGGGCGAGCGUUGUCCGGAUUUAUUGGGCGUAAAGAGCACGCAGGCGGUCUGUUAAGUUUGGAGUGACAGUUGGUGGCUCAACCACCAAAGUGCUUUGAAAACUAGCAGACUUGAGGGCUUCAGAGGGACACGGAAUUCCGGGUGGAGUGGUGAAAUGCGUAGAGAUCCGGAGGAACACCGAAGACGAAGGCAGUGUCCUGGGGAGUACCUGACGCUCAGAAGCGAAAGCAUGGGGAGCGAACAGG